Bombus huntii is the source of this 2664-nucleotide long non-coding RNA. RefSeq lists it as uncharacterized. The transcript has 3 exons. The record is from RefSeq and is a predicted model, not a curated record. Lineage: Eukaryota; Metazoa; Arthropoda; Insecta; Hymenoptera; Apidae.
GAAAAACACAGUACUUUUUUAGAAAGUUCAUUAUAGCACACUAGCGCUUCACGCGGUGCAGUACUAACAAACCUUUUUCUCUCUAGCACGUAAGGCUCACACAUGCGUUCCUUCUCCAGAAAGAUUACAGAACAGGUAAUCGUAACUCACCUCCACUAAGUCGGUUCUAUCGUAACUACUGAACGGAUCCAUUAUUAAGUUCAUUCGAUUCUUCAACUAAGCAAAUACAAAGACUGUCGUACAAACGUAACAAUAUGUUCGUUACAGAGAAGUGUCACGAUUUACGCGAAGGUAAAUGUAUGUCACAGCGCGGCGUGAACAAGUCGCAUCACUGUCUGUUGGAAAACAGAUCGAAAACAAUUAUACUUCAAACUAAACACGAGGUCGCGGCGUUGUCCCGCAACGCGAUACUGAUCGCCGGUCGCCGAAAUGUCUCUGACGAAGACGCCAGGCGAUGUGGUGACGCGAAAGACGUCAGCGGGAGUAUCACGGGGACGGAUAGCGCGGAAGAGCAGGUUUCAACGGGGAUUUCCCGCUCUUUGGAAUUGACCAAUCAUCGGCGACGUGCUUCACGAUAGCUGACGCAAUAAUUGCGGAUACACACCAUUGGCGGCGGUUGCCGAGAUCCGGAGAAUUCGAGACGAAAACGCAACCGAAAAUAUAGCUAACGCGACGGUUAUUCCCCAAGUGGCUUCAUUAUUUUGCGAUCCAACGAGGUCGACCGGACGGUGCACUGGGGUAUCCGUAUCAUCGAAAAUCUAGCCGAAAAUUCAUCUUCUUUAAUUUUUCCUCAACUGUGAAAUUUUCAUUCUUAGGAAAAACCAAAGCAGGAAUAUUAUAUUUACAAAUUUUAUUUCUGCACCUUUGAAGUGAUACAUACGUGUAAUAAAUAAAGCUAAAUUUUGAUAAUGGUCUCCUCAGCCCUUAUAUACCGUAUUUUUUAUUGUUGUAUCAACUACUCUCUUAUGAUAAACAAUAUUUUAAAAUGGACUAUAAUUUAUUCAUGUUUUUUAAGAAUGUCAUGUAUCACUUAAAAUAUCAUCCUGUUAUAUUUCAGGAUACAUCCCAAUUUUUGUAAAAAAAAUUAAUUGUAAAGAAUGCUUUGUUACGCUUAUAGUAUAAUCGCUCGAAUUGAAUUUCUUUAGCUAUUGUAAGUAGAAAUGAUAAUAAUGUUACGUAUUUUUUAAACCACUAGAAUCAUUUGGAAUUAAUUUGAUAAUGCGGAAUCAAUUUGCGAUAUAAUGCAAGAGCGAAAGUUUAGAAAAAGAAACGGAAUAUCUUGCAGACUUUCGUCGAACCAAGAAAAUUUUUAAGAAGAACCUCAAGCGUUUAAACACAAAAUGCAUAUCUCGCUUAAAGUAGAAGAGAAGAGGGUUGCAUCAUAAGGGGUUAUAGUGUACUAUUCAAAAUUCCGACAUGUAAAAUAGAUCCUCUGGUUUAUAUAAAAAGAGAGUUUUUUAAAUAUAUAUUUGGGCAAAUAUAUGUUAUGAAAAAUUCAUAUGUGGCGUUUAAAAUACGUUUUUUCCAAACAAAUACAUAGGUUGUUUGCCGCCAAGUAGGAACACGUGUGGCGAAGAUUCGAGUUUUCGCAGUUCAAAUUACUAAAUCAACCAAACGAUAUCAAUCUUUUUUAAGGUUAAAAGGUUGUACGUCCAAUCGGUUGUAUAUAAAAUGAUUCCGCAAAAACAAAUAACAGAUAAGAAAUGAUCGAAUGUAAUUAAGUGUGCAUGUCUGUGUACAAAUAUCUUAAAUAUACUUUAUACUUUCAUUAACUAAACAACGCAUGAAAGAGUUAUCGGAUAUAAAUAUGUUGUCAUAGAUGGAAUUUCAUUCAAUGAUUUAAUGUAAUGAUUUAUAAUAAUACUAAUUUGGGUCAGUAAGGUAAAUUUUUCUAGUGAAUAAUAUGCAGUUAUAGAAGCAUAUAAUUAAUCUAUUUAGUUAAAUAUAUUUUAAUUUCAUGAAAUAUUUAAAUUCGACUGCUUUAAUUAUCUUAUAAAAUCAUUCUCACUCUUUCCAAUCUUUUAUAAAGAUGCAUGCGACUUAUAUGCUGUAUUUACAGAUAUCAUUAUAUUAAUGUCUUCAAAUAUUUCCAGUCGAUCGAUAUGCUGUUGCGCGAAGCCAGAGUCUUGCGGUUAAUCUAAUUUCCAUAAAAUGGAAAUCGCUAUCGGGUUUCGAUUUUUUCCUGGAAGUAUCUUUUUAAAAAAAAAAAAACAUUUAUUGCAAAUCAGCAACGAUUCAACGUACGAAACAGUUACGAAAUAACCAGGAACAAAAAUUCGUCUGUACGACAAGACUUCGUCGGUAUUCCCGUGACAUUGAGGCGUUUGAAGAUCUCUACGAAGAUUCCAUUUUUUUUCUCUCUUACAGCGUUAUUAAUAGACACAAGUUGUUCGUCGCAUAAUUCUCAAUAGAUUGACUAGCUAGAACCAGUGUGAGAAAAAAAGAAAAUGAUACUCUGCAAUAAUGUGCACGUAUACCAAAUUUUCCUGGAAUGUUGGAAUACGUUUACAUAUAGUAGAGAAAUAUUUUCAAUGGAUCCACUAAUGUGUCCAAUUCGUACGUUCUACCCUGUAUACAUAUAAUAUUUCCAUCGCAUUCGUCCAGACAAAAUGCAAUAUUCGAAAAAGCUUUUCACAUUGGCGGCGCCUAUGGACUCGUUUAUUU